UUGAGACCUUAUUUUAUUUCAUAGCCUUCAUCUUAGAUUAUAAAGUCAUAAAAAUACAAUUCUUGAAAUUAAAUAAGAAAAUAAAAACAAAAGUUAAGUGACAGCACAAUUGAUAUAGUGAAAUUGGCCACUCUCUUGGAUAAUGAUCCUAUAUACUCCCUCUGUUUUUAUAUAAGUUUUUUUGGGAAGAAAAUUUAUAAUAAAAUAUAAAUUUGUUUUGUAAUACUACAAAAUUAUUAAUAUUAUUUUUUAAUUCUGUUCCAUACAGAAUGAUUAUUUUUUUAAGAUGUGUGGAAAAUAAAAAACAAUUUAUAAAAAGCAGAGAUAAUAUAAUAUUAAGAAGAUAUAAACUCUUCUGCCGCUGCUACACAUCUACACCAACUACUGACACACUUUACUGUCUUAGGUUCUUCACACAAAUAUGGAAGACAACCCGAAUCAGUAGAACAUCGAUAGAACACGGCUGUGAGGAUAAGAGAUGAUAAAGUAAUCAAAAUCAUAUUGGUCAAAAUAUUGUGUACAAAUUAAAUAAGAAAGUUUGAAAAACAUAAAAAUGACUUACAUUCAACAACGUUUAUAGAAGCAAAACAUAGAAAAGAUAUGAUAAUUGUCACAUAAACAAACUUUAUAAUUUUAGCCAUAUUUCUUCUCUUUUCCAUGUAAUAAAUGGUUUUAUCAUUUUAUACUUAUAAAGUUCAUCCUCUGUUACAUCAGUAAAAUAUUGUUUUAGCUCUUGCAGAAAUGCAAAAAAACACUUUGUUAAAUUAUUAUUAAAUAUCACUUCAUUAAAUUAUAAUGAUGAUCAAAUGUCCCAUAUGUUGUUUAUUAAUGUAUUAGAUAGAGAUGAUAAUUUGAUUUUAAUGAUUAUUUAUAAACUACUCACAUUAAAUAGAAUAAAGAUUCAUAAAAAUAAAUAUGGAUACAUGUUCACGCAAUUAUCCAAUAAAAUAAAUGGUAUAUAUAUGAGCAUGAAUAAUAUAUAUAUAUAUAUAUAUAUAUAUAUAUAUAUAUAUAUAUAUAUAUAAAAGAUUAAUUGAAAUACAUUUUUAGUAUAAAAGAAUUUUAUACAGUCACUUAAUUAUAACCGUUGGAUGUUGGGACAAGUUUGAUUUUUAUUUUAAAAAUCUAUAAAGUAAUGCAAAUCGAUGAUGGUGAUGAAUCGAUUGCGUAAAACUUUUUACACUGACAGUGCAUAUUAAUUAAUCCAUAUAUAUAUAUAUAUAUAUAAUAUUAUAUAUAAUAUAUAAUAUAUAAAAUUAUUAUAUUUAUAUAUAUAUUUAUAUAUAUAUAUAUAUAUAUAUAUAUAUAAUAUAUAUAUAUAUAUAUAUAUAUAUAUAUAUAUUAUGACCAAACGACAUCAAGGUGUCAAAUUUAAUAAUAUGUCAUCUUUGAUCAUUCUUUACCGCGUAUUCCUAUAAUAAAAUUCACCAUUAGAUUGAAAGCUAUUAUCAUAUAAAUCAUGUUUAUAAAAUUUAACAUCAAUCGAAAAUGAUUUGAUAUGUCAAUAAGAUGCUUGAAAACUAACUUUUAAAAAUUUCAACAAAUUGUUAUCAUUCUCUUUAACAUAUCAAAUUUUAUUUAUUUAUGUUAAAUUUUAUAGACAUGAUCUAUAUGACAAUAGAUUUUAAUCCAACAAUGAAUUUUGUUAUAGGGAUAUCUAGAAAAAAAUAUGAUAAUUGUCACAUAAACAAACUUUAUAAUUUUAGCUAUAUUUCUUUCCUUUUCCAUGUAAUAAAUGGUUUUAUCAUUUUAUAAUUAUAAAGUUCAUCAUUUGUUACAUCAGUAAAAUAUUGUUUUAGCUCUUUCAGAAAUGCAAAAAACACUUUGUUAAAUUAUUAUUAAAUGUCACUUCAUUAAACUAUAAUGAUUAUUAAAUGUCCCAUAUGUUGUUUAUUAAUGUAUUAGAUAGAGAUGAUAAUUUGAUUUUAAUGAUUAUUUAUAGAAAUAAUCACAUUAAAUAGAAUAAAAAUUCAUAAAAAUAAAUAUGGAUACAUGUUCACGAAAUUAUCCAAUAAAAUAAAUGGAUAUAUAUCUUAACAUGAAUAAAUAUAUAUAUAUAUAUCUAAAUAAAAUAAAUUAGGGUUAAGUAUAACUAUAAUACCUAAAUAAAAUAAAUAAUAAUAUAUUUAAAUUCACCACUUCUGUCUCAAGUUGAGUAGCUAUUCUCGACCAUUGUUAGGUCAUUCACAAACGAUAUCGCAACAUAUUAAUAAUUAAAAAUUAGUAGUUAAUAGAAAAAGAUAAUGCCUUUUAAUCUAAAAAUAAUCUUCGCUUUCUCAAUCGCCAAAAUAAAUAGCACAAACAUAUUCAAUCAAUAGUGACCAAUAGCGAUCGGAGACAAAUUUUCUUGUAGUAUUAUCAAAUUAGUAUCCAAAAUUCUAAUGUUGUCCUUGACUUUAAGAUGAAUGUAAUAAUUAGAGAUGGAAUAUAUAUUAAUUCCGUGUUAAAUUAAAAUAAAAUGUAAGUUAAAUUAAAGAAAAAUCUCAAUUAUUAAAAUUUUAUAGUUAAUGUAGGGUGAAAACUGACAUAAAAAAAUAAUUUUCGAUUUAAAUACUAAAGAUAUUAUAAGAUUGUAAUGAAUGUAGGAAAAAUGAAUACUUGAAUUGAUACCUAAAAUUUAUAAAAAGAGAUAGUCUAAGUAAUAUUAAUUGAGACCUUAUUUUAUUUCAUAGCCUUCAUCUUAGAUUAUAAAGUCAUAAAAAUACAAUUCUUGAAUUAAAUAAGAAAAUAAAAACAAAAGUUAAGUGACAGCACAAUUGAUAUAGUGAAAUUGGCCACUCUCUUGGAUAAUGAUCCGAUAUACUCCCUCUGUUUUUAUAUAAGUUUUUUGGAAAGAAAAUUUAUAAUAAAAUAUAAAUUUGUUUUGUAAUACUAAAAAAUUAUUAAUACUAUUUUUUAAUUCUGUUCCAUACAGAAUGAUUAUUUUUUUAAGAUGUGUGAAAAAUAAAAAACAAUUUAUUAAAAGCAGAGAUAAUAUAAUAUUAAGAAGAUAUAAACUCUUCUGCCGCUGCUACACAUCUACACCAUUUUCUGACACACUUUACUGUCUUAGGUUCUUGACACAAAUAUGGAGGACAG
RNAcentral lists this long non-coding RNA (3078 nucleotides) under Lathyrus oleraceus (garden pea). Its description in RNAcentral is "Pisum sativum (pea) long non-coding RNA (PSAT_LNC019700)". The record is from RNAcentral. Lineage: Eukaryota; Viridiplantae; Streptophyta; Magnoliopsida; Fabales; Fabaceae.